This 24-nucleotide non-coding RNA is filed under the name Rattus norvegicus (Norway rat). Lineage: Eukaryota; Metazoa; Chordata; Mammalia; Rodentia; Muridae. The record is from RNAcentral.
GACCUGUAAUCUUUAAAAGUGCUA